UUGAAUCACCAGCUGGCGCUUCCGGCAUUACUAUAGAAGCUGCUGCGCGCCCGGUGCCGGCGUCCUAGGCUGGCAUCCCCUCAGACCGCCGCUGCCCACCCCGCGGUCCGACUGCGCAGCGCGGGCAGGCGAGGAGCCGGAGCGCGACUGCAGGUGGGAGUGUCCCAGGAGUGUCACACAGAAUCCCUGGGGGCUGCUGGGCCUUGUGGCCUGUCUGCCUGCCUGCUGCUCCCUCACCCAGAAUCACAGUCUUGAAUCCACGUGGUUCCCGGUGGUCGUGUGGAACGGUGCGGGGACGCAUCAUAGGCCUGGAGUAACCGACACUCUCUGUCCCUCAGGGACCCCUGUCCCAGCUGGAGCAUGACUCCGGCAAACUAGGAAGCUGGGUGCUCUAUAUUUGAAAGUCCUGCCGGCCAGUGAGCACGUUUCUGGUGAGAAGUUCUCUUGGUGCCUUUAAAGGCGUUUUCUCCUGAUGCAGCUGUGAUUUCUCCACAUAUUUCGUCUGAGAACGAAAUCUACAGGACGAGUGGACAGAAGAAGAAAUGGUCAGCUCUCAGAUUCAGUGGAUAUUUAGGAAGUGGAGCCUUGUCAUCUUCUGUGGAACUGGACAUAAGGGGGCACAUGUGUCUGAGGAGACACCUCUAUACAUACUUUGUGUCUUUUGUAAGCGAGGGACAGCUGACCUUCCGGGACGUGGCUGUAGAAUUCUCUCAGGACGAGUGGGGAUGCCUGAACCACAGUCAGCGGGAACUGUAUGCGGAUGUGAUGCUGGAGACCUAUGGGCACCUCCUCUCCUUGGGUCUCCUUGUAUCGAAACCAGACCUGGUCAUCUUUUUGGAGCACGAGAAGGAGAUGCGGGGUGUGAAGAGACAGGAGACAGUAGCCUCACACCCAGCUAUAUCUUCACCAUGCACCCAGAGUUUCCUGCCCACAUCGUGCUUAGAACAUUCUCUUCAAAAAGUGUCAACGGGACAACAUAGUGCCCUUGAGAAUUUCCACUUACUGAUAGACCCAGUCAACAAUGGGGAGAGUGAAGGGCAUCAAACAUAUCAUGAUGGCCAUAUCCAAACAGAGACAUCUGCCCAUAAGAACAAUCUCACGGUCCGUCGUGGUGAACAAUACACAGUAUUUGGCAAAACUUCCCCUUUUGUGUUAGCUAUUCCUGUCAGGCCGUGUGUUUCAGUAACCAAGAACUCAAAUCAAAUAUUAAAACAUAAAUAUUUGUUGAGAGAAAAAUUUGAAAAUCAGGAAAGUGACCUCAUUCGUGUUGAAAAUAAGUAUUUGACCCAAUUUGAAAAUGGCCUUGGACUGACCUUUCAUUCAAAUGUUUCUGAGAAUCAUAGAUUUAUAACGGAAGAAGAAAGUGUUAGGUGGCAACAACGUGAGGGGCCCCUCAGAAAGAGGUCAGCCCAACAAAAUUAUGAGACGAUUUUGAAUGGACAGAGAAUUGCUGUUUGCAGUGAAUCUGAGACAAAAUUUAACCAGGGCUCCAACAUUAAGAAAUGUCUCCAUAUUCAUUUGCCAGAAAACCAUUUUGAAUGUAAUAAACGUGAGGAAGUCUUGUCUCAAAGACCUAAACAUAUCCUACAGAGGAGUGCGCAUCUGGGAGACAAUCCUUAUAAAUAUAGAGACUGUUUGAACGCUCUGCAGCUGUCCUCCAGUGUUGGUGAUCAUCAGACAACUUGUGUGGGACAAAAGCCAUCCACAUGUAAUAAGUCUGGAAACACAGUUAGUCAGUCGCCGAGACUAAAUAUACAUGAGACAAUUAGUACUGGAGAGAAAAGGUACACUUGUAAGGACCUUGGCCUAGUCUUUCAUUGGCACUCAACACUAUCUCAACAUCAGCAAAUGCAUGCUGGAGACAAGUCCUACAACGAAUGUGGUAAAACCUUUAAGGACUGCUCAUCACAGAAUACCCAAGGGCAAAUCCAUAUUAGAGAGAGACUUGACAAAUGUCAACAAUGUGGCAAGACUUUUAAUAGGGACUCCUACCUUUCUAGACAUCAGAGCAUGCAUAUUGGAGAGAAACCUUACCAAUGUCAAGAAUGCACCCAAGCCUUUAAAGGGAACUCAAACAUCACUUAUCACAGGGUUGACACUGAAGAAAAACCUUACCAAUGUAGAGAAUACGACAAGACCUUCCUCGAGCACUCACACCUUAGUCAACGUCUCGGAAUUCAUUCUGCAGAGAAACCUUACAAAUGUGAACAAUGUGGCAAGGCCUUUACAAGACACUCAAGCCUAACUCAACAUCACAAAAUUCAUACUGGAGAGAAACCUUACAAAUGUGAAGAAUGUGGAAAGGCCUUUCGCCAGCAAUCACACCUUAUUCUACAUCUCAGAAUUCAUACCGGAGAGAAACCUUACACAUGUGAAGAGUGUGGCAAGGCUUUUAGCCAGUACUCAAGCCUUACACUACAUCUCAGAAUUCAUACUGGUGAGAAACCAUACAGAUGUCAAGAGUGUGGCAAGGCCUUUAGCCAGUACUCACGCCUUACUCUACAUCUCAGAAUUCAUACCGGUGAGAAACCAUACAAAUGUGAAGAGUGUGGCAAGACCUUUAUUAACCACUCAAGCCUUACUCGACAUCUCAUUAUUCAUACUGGAGAGAAACUUUACAAAUGUGAACAUUGUGGCAAAGCCUUUACCAAGAAGUCAGUCCUUACUGUACAUCACAGAAUUCAUACUGGUGAGAAACCUUACAAAUGUGAACAAUGUGACAAGUCGUUUAUAAAUCACUCAAGCCUUACUGUACAUCUCAGAAUUCAUACUGGAGAGAAACCUUACAAAUGUCAAGAGUGUGGCAAGUCCUUUAUAAAUCACUCAGGCCUUACUGUACAUCUCAGAAUUCAUACUGGAGAGAAACCUUACAAAUGUGAACAAUGUGGCAAGGCCUUUACAUACCACUCAAGCCUAACUCAACAUCACAGAAUUCAUACUGGAGAGAAACCAUACAGAUGUGAAGAAUGUGGCAAGGCCUUUAGCCAGCACUCCAUCCUUUCUGUACAUCACAGAGUUCAUACUGGAGAGAAACCUUACAAAUGUGAGGAAUGUGGCAAGGCCUUUCGCCUGCAGUCACACCUUAGUCAACAUCACAGAAUUCAUACUGGAGACAAACCUUACAGAUGUGAACAAUGUGGCAAGGCCUUUUACAGGCAAUCACAGCUUAUUCGACAUCACAGAGUUCAUACUGGAGAGAAACCUUACAAAUGUCAAGAAUGUGGCAUGGCCUUUAGCCAGCACUCAAUCCUUACUAACCAUCACAGAGUUCAUACCUUAGAGAAACCUUACAAAUGUGAACAAUGUGGCAAGGCCUUUCGCCUGCAGUCACACCUUAGUCAACAUCUCAGAAUUCAUACUGGAGAGAAACCUUACAAAUGUCAAGAAUGUGGCAAGGUCUUUAUCAAGCCAUCACACCUUAAUCAGCAUCUCAGAAUUCAUACUGGAGUGAAACCGUACAAAUGUCAAGAAUGUGGCAAGGCCUUUCCCUGGCUGUCGAAACUUAACAGACAUCACAGAAUUCAUACACCAUCCAUCCUUCAGGGACCCCUGGAGGGGGUGGAGUGCGACUCUGGCAAGUGGCGCCCGAACGGGUACCUGAAGUGGAGCUCAUAGGAAUUUGCCAGGCCCCUUAGCUCAAGGAAAUCAUCAGGCUGAUUCGCUUACUAGGGCUGCUGAUUCUUCAGCCCUGGAAGAAGCCCGCUUAUGCCAUGAAUUACAUCAUCAAAAUGCCUCUGCACUCAUCUCCAACGUAAUAUCUCUAGGGAAGCCGCUCGAGAAGGAGUCCGCCUCUGUAAGUAAUACCCCACUCAUUUUCCAUCCCUACCCUCUGGGGUCAGCCCAAGAGGUCUGAGACUCUGAUUUAUGGCAAAUGGAUGCUGCGUACGUACCAUCCCUUGGAAAACUUUGUUAUGUUCGUGGAUGUGUUGAUACAUUUUCUCAUAUCGUCACUUCUGCCCAUAUAGGCGAAGGUUACAGAGAUGUAUUUCAACAUCUUUUCUUUAGCUUUUCCUGUUUGGAGAUUCUGAAAGCUAUCAAACUGACAAUGCACCAGCUUACACUUCUAUCGCUUUCAAAAGGUUUACUCAACCUUUCAAGAUUUUUCAUGCCACAGGAAUUCCUUACAAUCCCCAAGGACAAGAAAUUGUUGAGAGUACACAUCAGAUCCUAAAGGAUCAAAUGAAAAAAUUACAAGAAGGGGAGUUUAAGGGUAGCUGUCCACAUCACAUCCUCUCCCAUGCUUUGUUUGUCAUUAAUAACGUAAAUAUAGAUAUUACCAACUGUACCAAUAUGUGUGAGUUUUGGAAUCCAGCCUUAGAGUAACCUUAGACCUUGGUAAGGUGGAAAGAUUCACUUACUGGCCAAUAGAAGGGACCCGGUGGUGUACUAACCAGAGGACUAGGCCAUGCUUGUGUCUAUCCACAGGAUGCAGACCGCCCUCUGGAUUCCAGAUCAUUUAGUUGGACACUAUGUCGAGCCCUCCAACUCCUCCCUCGACUCCGCAGCCUCCUCUGCCAUACUGGGCCACAAACCCCAGAAAGAAUGAGGAGAAACUAUCAAAUCCUCAACCCCCUGCCUCCUACAGACACAUGAAUAGUAGGGACACUCACUCAGACCAUGAGUGAGCUCUCCUUGCAGAAAGAUUGUCCCCAUCGCUGCUGCUGACUCGCCCAAUCUACAUGGGGCUCCACUCAUACAUGAGGACAAUUAAAAUCCCUGGCAGAUGAGGCUAUUGCCCUUGUUGAAACUCAGGGAGCCACAGUCACUCCAGCUACACUGUUUGUAGCUCUUCUUGCAUUAUUGUGUUCUCAGGCCCAUAUGGGCUAUGCCCUUAAACAACAGUAUUGGGCUUCUAUCCCAAACCCUCCUAUGUUAAAGCUUGUAACGUGGGCAAAUGAGCUUUUUUCUGUUCUUACUAAUAACCUAAAUUUACUCGGUGGCAGCACAGAUGAUGAGUUCUUGAUGUCUCAAAUCAAUCCUCAUUUUUCCUAUAUCAGAAUAUGCAGUUCUCCCAUUUGGUUUUCUUAUGAUCAUGCUCUUAAGGGAUGCCUUCCCGUUUG
This is an RNA transcript of Suricata suricatta (meerkat), 5060 nucleotides long. It is a transcript of the gene named zinc finger protein 420-like, with no coding region annotated. The transcript is spliced from 10 exons. The record is from RefSeq and is a predicted model, not a curated record. Lineage: Eukaryota; Metazoa; Chordata; Mammalia; Carnivora; Herpestidae.